This 265-nucleotide ribosomal RNA is filed under the name uncultured bacterium. RNAcentral describes it as "partial 16S ribosomal RNA". It matches the Rfam family "Bacterial small subunit ribosomal RNA", at positions 793 to 1055 of the family's 1533-position model. The record is from RNAcentral.
GUCCACGCUGUAAACGAUGAUGACUAGCUGUCGGGGCGCUUAGCGUUCCGGUGGCGCAGCUAACGCGUUAAGUCAUCCGCCUGGGGAGUACGGCCGCAAGGUUAAAACUCAAAGAAAUUGACGGGGGCCUGCACAAGCGGUGGAGCAUGUGGUUUAAUUCGAAGCAACGCGCAGAACCUUACCAGCGUUUGACAUGGUAGGACGGUUUCCAGAGAUGGAUUCCUUCCCUUACGGGACCUACACACAGGUGCUGCAUGGCUGUCGU